Molecule: long non-coding RNA, 23146 nt
Organism: Gasterosteus aculeatus aculeatus (three-spined stickleback)
Lineage: Eukaryota; Metazoa; Chordata; Actinopteri; Perciformes; Gasterosteidae
Source: Ensembl
GUAUCCCUCACAAUCUUUAUCGGGACCGUCACCUCACUUCCCAAGAGGGACAAAUCCACCUCGAAUGAAAACAACGUAGGCUGCCGAAACACGGAGGUUACAAGAAUGUGCUGGAUGCUCCUCAGCAACGCAGCAGUCAUUAACUGGAGCAGCAAAAGCAGAAGGCCUGAUAUUAGUUCUUACAUCUCUCAGUUUAGCCUGUAACAAAGGACACUACCUUUCCCAACAAUAGUUACAGGUACUAUUAUUGUCAAAUCUGCCACCUAAUCUAAGUCAGAUUUAAACACUCCGCCCUUUCUUGAAUGGCUCGCUUGUGAAAUCGCAACAGAUCCACUUCCCUGCCAACCGAAAACAUUGAGUCCCAGAACAUGCCCCAAAACUGCUCCUAUAUAGCAACACAUACUCAUGCGCUGACACAGCCGAAAAAGAGGAGAAGGAUAUUACCCCUCUAGGACAUGGGUUUUCAAUUGGUUUUGUCCCAGGGAUCAUUUUUUGCGUACAGACGAGGGGGGGGAUGGGAAUUGACAACUAGGAGGAGACAAGUCAUUAAAUACUCGUCAUGCAUUAUAUUGCAUUGCAUAUAAUGUGUGCUGGUCAACUAGUCUAAAAUUAAUUUUAGACAAAUUUUGCGUUGUUUAGAGUGACAAAUCGUACCAGCGUACUUUGAAGUCAAAAUGCGUAUCAGGUUAGCAGGUCUGCUUAUUUAUAGAACGGUGGACCACUUUACCUUCUGCCUUGUCAGUCCCCUCACCUCAAAAUCUACCUCCUCAAAAACGGUAGCGUUAGCUAAUAAUUUUCCACCGGAGCUUUAGCUAGCUGGCCAACGUCGCGUUCUCUCCUGCUGUGUUAAAUGACUCAACUCAUCAAGCUGUGGCUAUCGUUAGCUAAGUCUAUGUCAACAAAGCUCCUGGGUAACUUAACUUCGAUAUACCAGAAGAUAUUAAAAUUAUUGAAACCAUCACUCACCGUGUCCGCAAUUCACUGAAUCUCGCGCUACCUUCUGGCACGCGCACCUUUUCGCAGUUCACUGAGUAUGAAUACCCGCAAUUUUCACCUUGGAGUGCAUAAUUCCAGCCAAUCCAAAAACGGGGUUUGUAACCAAUUAGAUGCAGAUACCAUGGUGACUGGCUCCGCCCCCUUACUUUCAAAAAGAACAACAGCGAGCUUGUAGAAAACACCUUCGAGCACGAGGAGAGACUAGCCUCGCGAGCAAGGAAGUUCACGUCUGUGAGCGAGCAAAUCUCUCUCGCGCGAGACAGACUUUUGAUCGCAGAUGUUUGAUUUCCACGCGCGCAUCAACCCGAUUUGCGCUCUCGAAUUUUGACAGUGAGACGCCCAGUUACGGAAAGGAAGAACUCUGUUCAAUGCCUUGAAGCCAAAGAGGCUGUUAUGGUGGAAUAGGAGGAAAGUUGGCUACAGAUAGGGCCUGUCUCAAUAUGCGAUAAAUUGACUUAUCGCACACUAUUUUAAAUUGAGUUUAGUAAUUUUUGGGGCUGCAAUAUUAAUUUUACAUAUAAAUGAACGUCACCAACAUUUGAGUUUAUCACGCUGCCUCGGUCCCUUUUCCUUGUGGGAAGCGGGGCCGGGGCUUAGGCAGCACGCACUCGUAACAUCUACAGCCGAAUCCGGUAAGAAAUUAAUGGACUUGAUUUCGAAGGCACAAUGUUCGGCCUGAUGUUUGGGAAAAUUUUGCCUUUAAGCUGAGAGAGGAGAGCCAGUUAACAUGAACGAGCCAGUAUGUCGACUUUAAAAACAGUGGCAACGAAAACACAACUAAGCAAAAAUCCCACCUAAAACAACAACCAUCCGCCCAGUGUUUCAAGCUGAACUACUGUCGGUUCCUCUGGAUUGCUCGUUCGCCUCUUUGGCCGGGAGAAACACACCCUGCCGGCGGUCGAAGCCCCCGCAUUAAACCUCCCCGGCUGCUUUCCAUCGCCAUCGCACCGAGCCCGAUGCUUCGCCCGCUCCAUGUCCCUCGCACUCAUUAUUCAUUUGUUUUAUUUAUUUAGGAUAUAUUUUUUCUUACAUUCCGAUUCUAACUGUUCUGACGAAUAAAACAUUUUUUGUUCUUUGAAAGAGCGUACUUGUAUUAUAUAUUGCCAUUAUGUUACCAACGGCAUAAAAUGGUCUGAAAAUUGCAAUUUUGCAAUAAAUCCAGUUACCAGUAACUAGGGCUCUAGGAUUUUGGAAAGCAAGGGCAGAAGUCAGACAGGCCUCCACUUGUUGACUUUUAGUGGGAUUCGAGCAGAACAUUGCCCCAUGGUGGCUAAGGCUAUCUACUCUCAUUCCAGGAGCGCUGCUGUUUUUGCCUACAGUAGACUUAUUUUUAUAUAGCAACAGUAUGCAAGACUAUGUUCCAUUGCUUGUAUAUUGUUUCUAGUAUUUCAUAGUCAAUGUCAAUUGUAACCACUGUCUCAUAAUGAAGUGUGUUUUUGUAGUGGAACCACGUCUCAUGCUACUCUGUACAAAUAAACCUGUGCCAGCUAAAUGACCUGUGUCCUAGGAAUUCUUGCUACUGUGUGGGCAAGACCCAAAAAUUCCCACGGUUGCGUUGCUGGUAACUGACGAUUUGGUACCAAUUAAAUUAAAAACAAGAUCCCAUCCAUCAAACUCAUUAAACGCCACACCUCUCAGGGAAGGGAAGCAGCCAUGUUGGCCAAGAAGUCUCUUUAAGAUGGGUGAGAAAAGGAACAAGGUCCAGAGAGAUAAACAAAAAAUGUGAGACGGGAUGGAGUCGAAGGAGCAGGUAGUUUGCCGGCCAGAGGUUACCAAGGUGAGAACGUGGUUGGGAGACAAUGGGGUAAAAGAGGAGAAUGAGGGGAUGGAAUUAUAGUCUUAGAGGGAAUAUUAGACAAUGAGGACAAUAUGUCAUCUAUAUUUUUUGUAAAACUUUGUUCUUCCUGAGGCAGCUAAAGAAAUUCAACGAGCCUAAGACAAUGAUGUUACAUUUCUACACGGCCAUUAUCGAGUCCAUCCUCUGCUCCUCCUUCACAGUCUGGUACGCUGCAGCCACAGCCAAAGACAAGGGCAGGCUGCAGCGUGUCAUCCACUCUGCAGGGAGAGUGAUCAGCUGCAAUCAGCAGUUUUUUCAUCGGCAGUUGAUCUCAUGAUUCAAAUCAGAGUCCCCCAUUGAUCAAAUACUCAUUUUGCACAGUGGGUUCUCUCACCAUGGAAACAUUUUAUUCUCAUAUUGCACCAAUUCAGAAAGUCAAAUUUAAGUGUGUAACAUAUGUGGCAAUAAAUAGCUUCUGAUUCUGAAAAGAUGGAGAAGACUUUGGGGAGGGUUAGAGAUUGAGGAUUGAACUCUGGUUUGGUAGAAGCUGUUGGCUGAAUAAAUAGAAGCAGAUAGAAAGGGGAGAAGUUAAUGAUAGACAGUAAGUAAAGAAGUGUAAAGUGAUGGGAGGACAUCCCCAUCUACGUUCUGUAUAGAGCACCUUGUAACUGAAGCACUAUAAUUUGCACACCUGCUUAAGGCUGCCCGUUAAAUUUGAUUGCUUUUCAUACUUACCAUUGCUUAGCUUCAUUCUAAUUGAAAUUACUUGUUAACUAGUAUGUCUAUAUAUCCUAUUAAAAUGCUGCUGUAAUAUGAUUAAGAAAAUAUGUGAGCAAGAGUACAUUAAGACCACUUACUAAUGGACAGAGAAUUACAAGCUUUAAAAUAGCUGUUUACACUUCUACUCUUAAUUGUAAUAAAGGCCACUACAGAAUAGGACACUCACAGCAGGGAUGAAGCAAUCAGAUCUGGAUCUGGUUAUGAAAGACAAUAUUGUCCUAUAUAAUCAUGUGGGCACUGGAAAUAUAACAAUUGCUUAAAUCAAAGCUUUCCUUAAUAGACAUACAUAAUGAGUGUUGUACAGCUUAAUCACUGUUAUAAUCUUCGCUCUCUACAUUCCACAUCUUGAUUACGUGGUUGACCUUGAAAUGUCAGCAGAUGAUGCAAUUAGAGGAAAUCUACAAUUGGAAAAAGGGAUAAAAAAAACAUAUCUUUAUAAAUGUUGUAGCUUUGCAUAUUUCUUUGAAUUACCGUACUUUCCGCACUACAAGGCGCACUUAAAAGCCUUUUAUUUUCUCAAAAAACGACAGUGCGCCUUAUGAUCCGGAGCGCCUUAUAUAUGGAUCAAUUGGUUAAUCGGUUGAUCCAUACUGGUUGUACAUGGCGCUCAAGGCGCUCUACCAUACAUGCCAAAGCUAGUCUUCGACGGCGAGAUGCUGAGCGGCGCUCAAGCGCGUGAGAUAUGGAGCUUGUUUCAGGGCGCGUCGGAGAAACAAAGCUGUCGUUCUCGCCGAGCCGGGAAAUAAGUUAUUCUAAAAGCAGCCGAAGAUUUAAGGCGAGGGGGGCGGAGGGAGCGGACGCACCUCGCAGCAUCAAUUGGACCCUGAAAGAUCGUCUCCACCUCCCCACACCCCCCAUCCACCUGCCCCGACGCCAAUCGUUUGACUACAGUAUCUUAUGCGCCUUAUAAUUCGGUGCGCGUUAUAGUGCGGAAAAUACGGUAAGUGACAACUGUUUUGGUGACAUGUUACUGUAUACUCUGAUUGUCUAUUAGGGACUCCAGCCAUCAGACUUUGUAAACAUUUGUGACACAAAUGUUAAUAUAUUUAAUUGUAUAAUAGCAACACAAACAAAAGCAAUAAUAUAAUAUUAAGAAAAGAAACUUACUAACUAACCAGAAUCACAGGUUCAAAGCAGAUUUCAUGAGAUGGGUUUUUAAGGCUGAAUGUGGUGGGUGAAGAAGAUUAUCUGAGGUGCUCGAGGAGAGAGCUCCUGAGAGAGGGUGCAGCAUUGGUUAUUGCUGCAAAGGGUUGGGGUCGUCCGAGAUGAGCAAAGAAUACAAUCAAAUGUAUUUUUUUAUUUUUUUUAAAACUCAAAUGUAUUAAAAGAAUCUCAGGAGCCUCCAGGUAUGCUCAUGAAGGGCUGCUCUGAAGUUGUCCAUUAGGUUCUGUCGGGAACUCCGAUCCACCCGAGUUGGUUGAUGAGAAGGAUCGCGUUGAUCAAUUAAAGUCAAAAAGUUAACAUUUAUUUAGAAGAGAAAAAGAUUACAUGAGCAAUUCUCCGCAGACAUAUCUGGCUCUAACUAUUGCAGGAGGUCCAAUACACGAGCACGUAUUUCAGCGUUUGGUGUAAAUGGUGUCUCCAAGCAGUAAAAACGCUGAGUUUUUAUACACACACACAGGAAGAUCAUCCUCAGUGGCAGGUGCAAAUUAUAAUUAAUUGAGAAAAAGUAGAAACGCAGAUAUGAAAACUUUCGUACCAAAUAAGAUAUGAACCAAGGCCAUGAACAGAAUUCCCUUUGAUGGAGCAUCUAUGAGAGAGUUGACCGCCUCCCUUCUCAGGACACAGCUGCCAAUUAAAAGUUUUGUACCAUCCUGCUCUUUGCACGUCAGGGUCAAAUACAGGCACUUCAGACACGGAUUUAGCACAAGACAAUGUUAUAUCAUAUUUUACCAUUACAUGCAUCGCACAGUUCUUGUUGGUGAUGCGCUAAAACUCUUCCCCUACUUCUACUCCUUAAAAGAAAUACUAAAUCAUAAACCCAACAUAAUAUAUUCUUGGUUCACCUGCUUACCUCUGCCUCACUAAACAGAGCAGGCCACCGUUCCAGAACCUCUGACACCAUAGGCUGCAGCUCUACGAUGUCAUUGCGCCUCAAAGAGAAAGUCAGCUCCAUCUUUUGUCUGAGUGCAACAUUCGUAUUCUUCUUCUUGAACUCCUCAACCAGAGCCAGUCUUUCAUCCUCCAGUGAGUCAUCAUUAUGGUUUUCUGGAUGGUCAGGGACAUGGUUAAUCUCACCUCACUUUGCUCUCUUCAGCAAAAGACUUGCAUUGCAAGACUUUCCUGAAGAAUGUUUUACAACUGUUGAACUGAUUCAGGUACUUCAGGAAGUGCCACUUUACGGGACAUUCUUGGAGAUUUUCACCAGCAGCAGUAUUCCAGCCUGUGUCACAAGAAACAAGGACAAAACAAGGGUUAGGUUGCAGAGGGUAAAAAACAAGACAAUUCAUAAACAAUGUAGCAAGGUCUUACACUGUGUAAGAUGCAAAGCAUUAUAUUUUUAUAAAUGUAUAUGUGGUUCUAACAAGCAGAUGUACAUAGAUAGAGCAAGCUGGUGCAGGCAAAAACACACAACAUACACAAGGUUCCAACAAAGACUGAACUGAAAACCAAACAUACACACAGGGGUGAUUGCAAACAGGACACAGGUGAAUGAAACAAGACACAAGUGCAACAAAUCAGGAAAUCUACUUGAGGAAAACCAAAAGUAAAACAGAAAGAAAUUCAAAUAUGACAGACAGCAUGUGACUGCAUCUUGUUUGAAUGGGAGAAAUGAGAGUUAGAGCAAUCAGAGUUCACUUACCAUUCUGUGUCACUUCAAUGGAGCAGGCACACUUUGAGUCACCAGCAACUUCCCUCCCACUGUGUAUGCAACCAAUGGAUGGUCGUUGAGAGCCUGAGGAUCCAAAAUCACAAUGGCUGCGUAGAUGCUCUCCACAAGCUCAACAAACCAAGACCUACAACAGUCUACUGUAGGUUAUGAAAGUCAGCCCUCAGAAUUUUAUUUUUUUGGAAUUUGAGCACUUUAUUUGAACAUGCACAUUUUAUUAUUAGCCAUUAGUGUGAAGGGAGUGACCGGAGGAAAAAGGGAUGUCAGAGUCCGUCAGUCACUGAGCCAGACUGCUAAUGGUAAGAAACUAUUUCGGUGGCAAGAGGUCUUAGUGCUGAUGGACCUCAGCCUCGUGCCAGAUGGAAGGGGCACAAACCGAUUUUGUCCAGGAUGAGAUGGGUGGGAUACAAUCUUUCUAUCUCUCUUCAGGGUGGGGCUGCGUUCUUCCGGAAAUCCACUACCAUCUCCACAGUCUUCACAGCGUUGAGCUCCAGGUUGUUUUGGGCACUCAUCCAAAAUGCAGCAGCUUGACUGUUCUUCAACCAACCCAAAUUCACAGACACUACUCCGCUUGUCCGCUCCGUGGCUGCCCGCAUCCGUUUCAAAACACUAGUAUUUGUGUACCGUGCAGUGAACAGAUCAAUCCAGUCUACAUCCAGACCACGCCACAUACUUAUAGAACUUGUGUAGUUUGGCUUUCUUGAAAAAAAUCUACUUUCUUGAUUCUUGUUGUCUUCAUGGAUAAAGUCAGCUAAAUUACAAAUGUAAAUGUAGGCUAUAGUUGAAAACAGCUGCUUCCUCCUUGACCUGUGCCUCAAGGAAUAUAAGUAUUAACAUAACUUGUGAAUUUAAUUUGACAUAUUCUUUACUACACAGCCAGGAGACAAAGACAAAAAAUAGAUCAAUUAGCUGAUAUUAAUCCAUUUACUAAUACAGCUUUAGAUGACAGAUCUAAUUUCUAGGAGUCCACAUUUACCUAUCUUGUUCUAGAAUUAACUGUACUAAACAUGUAUAUAAAUGCUGUAUAUAAUAUCAAGUUUUGCCGUAACGUCAGACUGGCUUUUCAGACAUUAGGAAAGAAAUGCUUGCCUUUUGUUGCAACCCCUACUGCAAUCUGAAGUGGUACAGCAAACAGAAGCUGUGGAGAAUGAAGGGGGAAUGAAGACGCAAACAAAAAGAACAGACUCUUCAAUCACCUAGAAAUCCCUUUCACCAUCAUCACCAAUUCCCCCUCCAUUCUUGCAGAAACAAACAUAACAAGGAAGCAAUUUCAAAUGUAAUUCUUCAACACCAAUAAACCUUGACGCUGUUCCCCAGAGACGUGGUGUGCAUCCUGCAGGCAGAGGAGGAACAGUGCGGUUGUGAUACUUUAAAAAUGCUGUGUUGACUUCGUUCUGUACAAACCGUAAGACAUUGACAUUGUGACAGACUUUUUAAAUACAGUAGCUUCGCUUUUGGUGACAUCUCUUCAACUGCACUUUAUCAGGCACAGCAGUAUCAUUCGCAGAAGCUGCUUCAUGAGCAAUAAAGCCUUUGGGCAAAGAAGACCAUAGAACAUGGGAACUUCAGAAAUCCCUAAAACUAAGUAUCGACUGAAAUCUGCUCACCCUAAACAGUAACUGCUGUGUCGAUGUUUUCAAUUGUAGGAUCAAUUUUUAUUAAACUGAUGGCCUCGACCUAGGAAUGGAUCAUUGGCCUGUUACUGGCAACAACACAUAGCUUCUUAACCGGCAUAUAAUACGAGCACAAAAUGUUCUGCUAGUUAAAGCCUAUCUUGGUUACUUGGUUGUUUUCUGUCUCUGCUUUUCUCACUGGUUUCGUGCAGUUGGGCCUCGUUGAAUAAAACCUGGGCUUAGUAUAGAGAGAGAGGGGCUGCUCGGAUCUUGUCAUUAUGAGUAUUCGCUCAGGAGUCUAUUGUAGCCAGCCAGCCAUAUAAGCAGCCAAAACUGUUAAAACGUUGGCAGAAAUCUGUGUUUUCAUAAAGGAUCCCAUCACUUUAAUUAAAUAAGUUCUAAGGGAUGCUUCUUAACCCAACUAAACAUUUACAAGUCCUGGAACUACCUCGCUAAGCAGCUUGUGUAAUUUGACUGUGGUUGUAAUUGUAGAUUUCUAUGCAUUCAAGCUGCUGGAAUUUCAAAAUCACUCACCUUGAGAGAGUCAAAGGUGUUUCUCAACAACGUAACCUAACAAGGGAUGUUCAGAGUAAAUUGGGACCGAUUGUGACCAGUUUGAUGGUCUUUGUUUUUCAGUUCUCGCCCUUGAGCCUACAGUAUGUCUUUUUUUUUAUUCUGUCAGUUGGCCUGCCAGUCUUUCAUCCUCUCUGUCUGUAGUGUUUUACGAUUCAGACGUAUGGGAUGUAAUAAAGCAUGUAUUUUUUAAGAGCAAGGAACAUAAAUAAUGGCUUUUCUUAAUGUAAAAGAUUUUUUUAGUGCCUAUUAAACUUAUUCUUUCUGCACUCUUUCCAAUGACGGCCUCUCAGGAGGGUUCUGCGAGCUAUCUUGCAUAUCGGGUGAAAGAAACACACUUUUACACAUUAUGAAAGACUUGGAUAUCACGCCAAGAGGGGGCAUUCUACAUUUUCAUCAUUAUACUUAUACUGUGCUCUGCUGCACUUAAACAGGAAUAUUUGUGAUAUUAUUUUUCAUUAAUCAUUUACUUAGUAGGAUUGUCGUCUUUUCCAAAAUAAGGGCAGGAGCCGUAACAUUUAGCACACGUAAUAGGGAAUGCAAUUAAUUGGUUUGCUUAGUCUCUAUUUGGUCUCCUGUGAUAGACAAUGAUGUCUGGACAGCUUAAGGGUAGAUAUAAUGCAAGUAACCUGUAGAGGAAAAAAGCAAUUUAAUUGUCAUUUGUUAUGAAUGGCUGUUAUGAUUUUCUUGUGUGUCAAGGAAAAAAGAUCUGCUUACAGACAGAAGGAAAUUACUAAAUUCAACCGGUUUAAGAGGCCUUUGGCUGAACAGCAAAACAUUUAUGACAAAUGGUAUUAACUAAACAUAUAUCAUUUACCAUGAAUUCAAUUGGGGUUUCACUCCACUUUUGAAGAGCCCGUGUUUAGAUUUGGUUUAGCAGUUAUGGAAUAUAAAACGCUUAUCACAGCAGAAGUGCCACUGUUGGCGUGUUUCUCUUCAAGCAGAGGCGGAGUCAUUUUUUCUUAGUAAAUUCUUUUUUUAAGGGUUACAUCUCAGCUUUCUUAUUGUGCCAGGUAUUUCACACAGACAAUGACAGAUUUUUAAAGCCAUUGAAAACUUGCUUUUAAAACUGAAGAGAAACGCAGCGAUGCAAUAUGCACUGUAUUGUCACUCCCAAACUGUAUAAAGUGUAAAGAAAAGUAUAAAAAUGGAUUCUUUUUAUUCAAUCCGUUCUUCCUUGUCAAAGUAUGGCAUCCACAUUAGUGGAACUGGACCAGCAAAGGUUGAGUUAAAGAUUUGGGUGUUAUCCUGUACUUCAUUUUAGGGACACAUGUGAUUUAAACAAAAACAACAAAACGCUACUGCGCAUUUUCUUUAAUUAUUGUCCGAUCGCCAAAUAACUUUAUCCUGCCUACUAGCACCUUUAGUCCAAUUAGAUGUAGAGAUGCAAUGGUGACUGGAUCCGCCCACUUACUGUCAAAAAGAAAGUCUCACCGCUUUAAAAUUGAAACUUUUGGUACUUCAGGCUUAUAGCACUCCGGUAAUAAGAUAAUUCCAGUUUGCAGUGGUUACAAAUAGCGUUACUUUUAUAGACUACGCUGUCUGAUAAGGUUAGUUAAGUAACCCUAACCCAGAGAUUAAAAAGUGCCCUUCCCAAUGCUAAAAGAAAACAGAAAAAUGCUGUUAAUGCAUGUUACAAUCAUAGUCGAAGUUAUACGUGGGGUCCACAGGAAAUGGACACCCCCCCCCUAUAUUCCAUUCUUUUAUAAUUAUUUGUUUAUUAAACUAGCAUAUGUUCUUGUGCAAAGUGAUAUUAUGUAUAUGUGUUGGUAAGUGAAAGACUUAUGCUCACACAGGCACUGCGGUCACCUAAGGGGUCCUUGUUUAGAGACAAGCGGGAAAUGUUUUUGCGCGCUUAGAAGAAGUAAGGAAAGAGAAGGAAGAAGAAGUGAGAAAAAAAAGUACCUGUAACCUGGCUGAUGCCUGUUUUAACGGAGGAAUAAAUCAUUUCUUAAAAACGAACACACGCCUGGAAUGUACGUAUGUUCAUGUGUGCUACAUUACAUACAUACAUACAUACAUACAUUAUAUAUAUAUAAGCUACAUAUAUGAUUGUGAUGGGUAGAGCUCCCCCUCCCUCUACCUGUUUGGCCACACCCCCCUAAUUAGCGAUUCGCAACAGGUGUGGCCAGAUUACUUCCUGGUUUCCUUUAAAUGUAGGCUUUGCCCCAGGUUUUCCCAGCUCCACACUGGUCUCAGGAAUGACUACAGCUAGUCAAGGUGCAGGACUGAGCGCUAAAGGGGACCAAUCAGAGCUCCCACCCCAUCUCCGCAGCACUCGCCAUGUGUGGCUGUACAGUGUGCAAUUUACAGGUUUGUCUGCUUUUGCAGUAGAGCAGGGUUUUUAUUGGUUUUGUUAAAAUAUGCUCUAUAGCGAUGCCAUGAAGUUCAGUGGAAUUUUACAUUGUGUAUGACAUGUGCUUCCUUUUUAUAACAGGAACAGGGAAAUGAUGUCUGCUUUUGGUGGUAGCUGAGUUCUAGCCACUGCUGUUUUUGCCCCCUUUUGCAAAUAUGUUUUGUAUUUAUGGUUACCUUGUUUAUGCUAGUAUUUUGAUUACGAAUUGUUAUUAAAUUAGUUUUCUUCCGCGACAAGUUGGUGUUUAAUUUAUUUAUUUUUCCCCUCUUUUUUGUAAACUAACUGGGGUAGGUCCUAUACUGAGGUCCUCUCAAUAUCAGUACAGGUGGGCUGGUCAUAGGUCUACAGGUGGUGGUUCACUAGGUGGAGGGCUUCCUCAUUUUAGUUUAUUUGGCAUGUUUUAUAUUUGUUCUAAUUUAGUCUUUUUUUGCUAUGCAGUGUGUGUGACUUUUCCUUUCUGGUACCUGGUGGUGGCCCCUUCACUCUCCCACUCCUUUAGACCUCCCUGAUACAGUCCCCUUGUGCUGGUAAAAACACCGCAGUAUAGUGACAUCAUUUUGUUUAGCAUAAAGAAGAUCUUUUUGUAAUAAAAGCCAUAUUUCUAAAUUGAGACCGUUAUCUAACCAAUCUGAAGCUUACUUAUAAAUAAAACAGGAAACUAAUCAAAACUAGAAAUUCACCUCUCUGCUCUCCUUUCUUGAACAAAUAACCUUUUUAUUCAUUUGUGGUAUUCUCUGGGUGAAAGUCCCAGAGUGCCGUUGUUUCAUUGCGACCAGGCACAUCAGUUGCCCCGGUCACAUUAGCAAGAGUAUGAGACAACUCAUAUUGGACAAACUCCGCUACCACACAAUGCAUUUAUUCUUGAAAUUGUCUCAAUGCAGAUAAGUUUUAAGUUCCUAUAUUUGGUCAAUUAAAAAAAUGGCUGUUUUGAAAAUAUGCUGUGAUGUUUCUCAGAACGGCUGGCAGAGUGCUGUGUAAGCAGCCUGUUCUUCAGUGAGUACAGUCUGCUGUAUACCCUCAAUCGUUCAAUCAGUGGGUUUUAUGAGUACAUACUGAUUGAGCAUAAUAUCUCAAAAUGGAAACCGACCCUUUACCUUCAAAGUGACCUUGGGGCCAGCUCUCCAUAUUUGUUUUAUCAUGUUGGACUGAGGACAGACUGGACUCUACAGUGACUCUGUAUACAAGUUGUAUAACUAGAGAGGCUAAUAUCCCCUGGCAGGUGACACCAUUCUCCAGCUCUGAUAUUCUUUAAACAUUCUCUGAAUCCUAAACUCUCUCAAGCAAAGAACACUCUGCAGCUUAAUACAGCUACAUGCCAUCCCAAGGCUAACCUGUAUUUGCUUUUCCCCAAUGGCUCGAUAAGCAAUUUCAUCCACUCAGUAUACCGGUCUUCACACCCUGCUUAUCUAGCUCCAUUAACCUUAUAAAUAGCCACUUUGUUGUUCUUUGGCAGGUCAAAAGAAGGCAAAGCGGGCACAUGACUCUGUUUAGGGCACAGGUUAGCCUGUAUUUGUGUUUCACUAGAUACGAUAUAUUUCGUGUGUGUGUGUGUGUGUGUGUACGAACGACGGGAUUUACCAGGAAGAAGGGAUAACAGGUUGAGCUAAUGGUAGGCCCACACCACUCAGUCUCAUUGUGCAACACAACCUCGCACUGAUCAGGACAUCCCCCAUUUGCCUCUAUCUCAAGUAGGUCCACCCGGGAGGAGACUCAGAACAGUGGAAGGAUCAUUAUAUUACAAUGCCUCUGAAUCUCCCUGGAGGAGCUCAGGAGGAAGAUGCUGGGGAAAACGGUGUUUGGGCUUUAUAUGCUGCAACGGAUGAGCAGCGUGAAAUUCCUUGAGUGAGAAAUACCUCUUCCACUUUUGUCGAUUCACACAGUGAACCUCAAAUGCACAAGCGGAAGUGAAACAAAAUAUUUUACCCUCCUCCACAUCUUCAGACUUGAUGGAUUAGUGGAAUUGAUUGGAAGCUAAUUUGGCACGAUACACACUUGGACCUCCGAAUCAGGUCUGAAAAUUGGAGCCUCUUGCUCGGGUGAUUAUCUUUGCUGUCAAGGUCACAGUGUGUUGUAUCAGUGACCGAAACAGAAAUUCUCAGCUUUUCCCGUCUAAUCCAGGCUUUGGGGAUAUUUCAUUCACCAACACAGUCAAGGUUUUGUGCGUGUGUGUGUGUUAUUACAUUGGAGUUUGUGCUGACACUUCGGCAAGGACGCCUUCAAGCUCAUGCACUAUGUAUACUACCAUAGAGAGAUUAGGCAACCUUCAUUUUCCCACAUGGAAAUGCUGUUUGAACCUGGCGUAUAUUUUCAGGUGAGGAACCCCUUCUCACAGAAACACUCAGCCAUGGAAUAUUCUCCUUGAUAGCACGAUGACGCUAAUACAAUGGGACACCUCCGGAGCAGCACAGCCUCACGGUGAGUAGUGAGCUGAGGUAAGAGUAUUUUUUCUUUCUUUUCCUUGAGUCAGUUCCUCUUCUCCUUACGUAAUUUUAAACCUCACUUUUUGUCAUUGUCCCACAUCCACUUUCUCUCCCUCGCUUUGCCUUCUCUUAUGUUGUUCCCAUGGAAUUUUUGCGAACAAAUGUUCCUCCAUUCAACAAAGGCCCCCAAUCGUCCCAACCUUGCUUCCACUGAGGUGCCCUUUAUCUAAGUGGGAUAAUUUAGCUCCCGUUCUCUACAGAAUAAGACAAAAGCGCACACACACGAACAAACAUAUAAUUCAACCAUCAAGAUUAACUGUAAGUGUUGAGUAAUUACAUGUUUCUAACCUUUGUUUCCUUGUCAGCUGAAAUGAUUCAUAUGCUUCAGUGGCGGCUGGUGUAAUUUUCUUUGGUAGGGUUAGCCAGUCCGUUUCAGCAAACAUCCCAGUGUGAUUCAAUGCAAAGAAAGGAAUCAAACACAUUACUUUGCAUAUGAUGUUACAUUUCCAUGAUACGGCUAGCUUGACGGGAGUUAUCAGUGUGUGUAUUGGUGUUGCAUGUGCGGAUUUUGUUUCACGCCAGUUCGUUGCCUGUGUCACAACGCGGGAGGCGAGGCAGGAAGUAGGGCUAAAUUCAAAAUCCAAAACACCAGGGGAGAACAAACGAAGACACAGAAAAACGCAAACGGCAAACAGGGAUUUACAUGACACAGAGACGAUGUUCAGGGUAGACAUUCAAGGCAUAACAUGCAGGGUUGAACAAUCAAUGACACGACAAGGGAUACACCUGGCUUAAAUACACUGGGAAGGUGCAGGUGAUUGGACACAGGUGGAAACAAUCAUGGACAUGACAGACAAUCACAGGGAAUGACAGGACAAGGUAGGAAGUGAAGUUAACCCAGCAGCACCAGAGGCAUGAAACAACAAAAGACGUGAACCCAAACCGUCAGGUUGAUUUGAUCUGGAUCCAGUUGUUUUACACCUAGUUUCUCCAUCAAAGUUCUUCUCUCAAACGGGUCUUGCAGGAGAGAAUUUACAGAGUUCAGGUUCUGUUUUCAUGGAAUAAUACUGCUAGUGAUCGCCAUUUUCAUGUUGCUAAAACGACGCCUUGCAAGACUAUCCCUGACCAGAGUGCAGCCUGGAGCCAGCCCUACGAUGGCCCAAGGCUGAAUCUAUUUUAGGACCCUGAAAUUUAAGACGCAGACAGGCGGAGAGGAUGUGCAGGAAAAGAGUAUAUUCUGCGCAGAUAUCUAGAUUUACAAAUCUUACAAAUAAAUACUCAUUUUCUUACCAUAGUCUCCUUCUUGCUGUUGAAUGCCUAUUAAUGAAUAUGCACAGAUGUCUACUUUGGACUGCCAAAUCUCCACCUUUGAAAAUGUGAAGGGGCUAUAAAUGCAUUUAAAGUGAAAGAUUGGUAAAUAGAAUCAGCUCAAUGCAAUGCAUUCAAAGCUCAGAGUUCAAAACAAAAAGAUUCAGAAUUUGCCAAGUUGACUUGAGUUCAUGCAGUUAAGUGUUUUUAUGUACGCCUUGUAUGCCAACAAGUAAGAGUCUGAAUGCCAGCAUCUCUGUGAGGCUGUAAUGGAAUAAGGAAUCAGGAACAUUUAUUGCAAGUAUGUUAGACAUACAAGAAAUUUAAUUUACCCGCCAAAUGCAGGUCGACUUUGCCUGUGGUGGGUAAAGCAGUCACUCUCACUAGCCACUUUGGCAGGUGGAAUUCUAUAUAUAUCAGUCUAUUUUUUUCUAUUAUUGUGUAACGGACUGUCUCAUGUUAGGGUUUUGCGUUUACAAUAGUAUGUCCCUUCAGCGUUGCAGUAAAGGCAAAAGGCUGGUUGAGGAGUGAAGGUGGUUAUUAAUCCAUGAACCCAGAACGCUCAGUUACAUUGGUGGCAGCAGUGGUUCAUGUAAACAGACUACGCACCCCAAUGACUCGAGUGUGCACUUUCUUAGUUUAGCUUAACUGUCUCAGUUUGCUUGCAGACUAAGUUUGAUUCAGAGAAUGAAACGCUACUAGUUCAAGAUGUGUUUGGAGAUGAAGAGAUGUGGAACAGCUCAGGGCUGUUCGGCAGACUGUCAGCCAGCAAAGAUAUCCAUGUGAACCUGCCUACUCCGUUUUCUAAAAUAAUAAACUCAUUGCAGGAUUCUCAAGCCUCAUGCAUUGACCAUGAGACACACGCAUUUCAACCAGUUCACACGCCACACCUUGCGAAGGAAAUGGCAACCAAGUUGUCCUACUAAUGUUGUAUUGUGCACGUAUUCCCCAGUCGGCCACCGUACACUUAUUGCGCGAACACACAAUGAUCUGGAUUAUCAUCUGUGUCGCCCUUGCACAGGUCUUUAUACCAACAAAAUCACCUGUGACCUUGGAUGACGCCUUGUCAUGUAUAAGUUCCGGUGUUCUCCUGAGAUCAGUCCUACGGAAUCUUUUCGUGAGUUCAUGGGAUUCCGAGUAACCGCUUAGCUGUAUUGCAGGCGGGUAGAUGGAUCCCUGGCAUUCAGGAUAGUUCUUUUGACCGGUUCAGUUAGCCCUCUAGCGGCCCCACAGUUGGAGGCGGCUUGGAUUGGAUCGGGAUGCCAAAUCUGACCUUCCAAUUUAUGGUGGAGAAAACUUGCUCGCACAAGCAUGUGGAUACAAAGAUGGACAGGACCCCAAAUGCAUACUUCACUGUCAGGUGUCGGAAUGGCAUUCUAUGUAUCCGGUUUUGGGAGGUUUUCAGUAUCAUGCCACUUGUGCCCAUAAAAAAGACGAGCUCUGACGAGCAAGAUCUUCAAGAUCAGCUGUCAAUCUUCUGAACUUUGACACCCAAUAGUCUUUUUCAGCUAUGUCUGCCAGUUCGAUCUCACGAUUGGGUUGGCUUACAUCUGUAAAUGCCGACAUAUUCAACAUAAUAGAUCGAUGCUCGGGAGUGACGGGAAAAACGGGGGGGGGUCAUCCAGGGUCACAGGUGACUUUGUAUAGAGACUCGACCUGCGCAAGCGUGAGACAGAAGAUAAUCCAGUGUUAAGCACUGCCUCUGGCGGUCAGUAAGGAUAAAACUAUAAUACUCAUACGCCUUGUGAGGCAAUUUUGUAAUUGUUGAUUCGGGGCGAGCCAAAACUAAAUCAAUUGAAUUCAAAUGAAGUGAAUGGACAUUUUAUAUAGAAAUAAAAUAUACAUUAUUAUUUAUUUAUUAGGCUUUCUCACAAAUAUUUAGGCCUAACAAAGAGCUGUGAUCGAGGAAGGGGCGGAGACAUGGAAACCGUGAAAACGGAAAAUAACUGUCUUGUAUCGUUAAUGGGUCAUGUUUUUUGUCAUCCUAACCUAAUAAACAGCAGAUUUCUUUAUCUUACUAUUGGGUUCAUCAAGGAGAAUUCAAUUAAUUUUAUUUUGUAUAGCCCAAAAUCACAAAUUGGCCUCAGAGGGCUUUACAGUCUGUACACAUGCGACAUUCUCUGUCCCGAAACCCACCAUCGGCACAGGAAAUACUCCGCAAAAAAUGAAAAACCCUUCCACCUUCCUUAAGGAGAACGUCAUAGGAGGAAUUCCUGCCCUGGGAAUGGACAGACUACAAUGGAUGCCAUGUGUACAGAAUGAACAAUGUAAAACAUGUACAAUACAUUCAUUUCCUAUAACAGAUGAUUCAAAUAAUUGCGAGUAGCAAGCCAGGCGCACGGCAGGACCACGGCAGGGACAACCACCAUCCUGAGAAGCCUAUGGGGAGAAAAAAGACAAAGAAUUUAGGAAAGGGUAAUGUUGGUUUAUGAUGACAGUAAGAGUAAUAUGAUCCAUAUUUAAAAUAACAAUGAUGAUCGCAGGUGUCAGCAGGGCCACGGUAGGAGGCAGGCCAGCUCUAACUAAAAGCUUAAAUCUUUCCUCUUUAAUAUUGCUUAAUCUUAAAAGAGCUGACCGAAUCUUCCCCCCGGAAUGAAAGUGGAAGCUCGUUCCACAAAAGAGGAGCUUGAUAACUGAAGGCUCUGGCUCCCAUCCUACUUUUUAAAACCAUAGGAACAACAAGUAACCAAGCAUCUAUAGAGCGCAGCUGCCUUGUAGGGAAAUACGGUGUUACAAGCUCUAAGAUAAGGUCGGUGCCUCACCAGCAAGUGCCUUGUAGGUGAGAAGUACCUUAAAUUCUAUUCUUGAUUUAACAGAGAGCCAGUGCAGAGAAGUUAAAACAGGAGUAAUAUGAUCCAUUUUCUUAGUGGCCAACUGUGGGUGAGUGGGGAGCACGGUCGUCCUCCAAUCAGAGGGUUGUGGGUUCGAUCCCAGUCCUGGCUAACCCGCAUGUCGAUGUGUCCUUGGGUAAGACACUUAACCCAACAUUGCUCCUGUAGCUGCGACUACAGUGUGUGAAUGUUAGUUACUGAUGGCAGGUGUCACUGUGUAUGGUUCUCCUGUCAUCAGUGUGUGAAUGGGUGAAUGAUGUCAUGUAGUGUUAAAGCGCUUUGAGUGGUCAGAAGACUAGAAAAGCGCUAUAUAAGUACAGUCCAUUUACCAUCUCUCAGGGGACGGGACCAGCAUGUUACAGGGUAGACUCUGUUUCUCCACUAAGGCCUGAUCCCUACAGCCUUUAGUGUCUCACUAGAACUUUCUAGAACUUUGCCUCUUUUAACUAGUUCUAACAGAAUAUUUUAGCACACCCCACGUUAUCAGUGUACAUGACAUUGCAGUUACUGUAGCAGUGAUCAAAAGGUAAGGAAUUUUUCAUAUCUCAGCUGUUUGGUAUUUGUUGGAUUUACAAACAGACUAUUGAAUUCGUAUUCUUCCCGAGGGUUGGCCUAAAGGUCUCCAAACCAAGCCAGAACCAACUUAUAUGAAGACUACAUAUGAAGGCUUCACAUUCUUCACAACAUUAGACUCCACACAGAAAGGCCACUGGGCAGAGUCGAACCCAGGACCUUCUUGCUGUGAGGCGACAGUGCUAACCACCACGCCACCGUGCCACUGGAAUCCAAGCAUAUGAAUCAUAAAGGCCUCUUACCUUUAAACCGUUGAACAAAAUUAAUUUUUUUAAGCGAGAUACGUGCUGCAACCACUGAAUGCACAUCACAAGCAAUUUCAGCGUCUUCCACACAGGCUGUACGGGUUGUUGUUUUUUUUCAGCCAAUCCGCACUUUUGAGCGUCAUUUUACGCUCUACUCAUCUGAGUGACUAAGGAAGCUCUCGCUCUUUUUCACGUGGCUUUAGUCAGAACAAAUAGGAUCAGACGAUUCAAAAAUGUGGUUGAAACAGGCAAAUGGGCCUAUCACAGCAUGCUCAGUUUAUCUUCACUAACAACGUGAAACUGUCCAUUUGCCCUGUACACACUGGGCUAGUGUAGAUAUACGUAGAUAUGCUCUGGCGUAGCAUCUCCAUGUUUUCAUAUGGCUCCUAGGGCUGUUUGUGAUUUUUAUUCAGGUGAUUCCUUUUCAGGUGAAGUUUGUUUGUGUUGUAUUGAUUUAUUUCUUCACCAGUAAGAUAACUGAUUGUUCAUAACACUCAUAGGGGUUCCUCUUUAUCCCCACAGAAAAUAAUUGUCCAGACGCACUGUAGAAAUAAUUAUACACUGUAUUUGUAACGGUGUUGCUGAUGCAACACCAUUUUGUUCAGUCCAGUAUUGAUCAGUUCUAUCAACCUUUGGUAGCUGACUAUCCUCUAUUUAAACAUCAUUCCAGCUUCUUUUAAGACGUAAUUCUGGUUUCCAGCAUGUAUAUGUACUUUCUGGUUUGGGCUCACUGUAACCAUUUUGUUUCUUAGGUCUUUUUCUCAUUGAGCUUAAACCUCCACACUUUUCAGUUUGAUCCAAAAUAAAAUCACAUGUGUGAAACCGCCCUCCGGCCAAAUAGCUGAACCUUGUUAUUCUAUUGGUUUGGACUUUUAACACCAAUUACAGGAGGUUCUUGUCAGAAUUUAGAAAAAAUAAACAAUGACAAAAUGGUCCCCUAUCAGCGCACACUCAUGUUAACAUGUAUGAACUGAGACAUCCCCUUAGCAUGGCCCACUGUGUAAUCACACUAAUCAGGAGGCCUGUUCACACCCACCACAUGUCAUCUCUACUGAGUGACUGCCAACUGUAGUGAACACAAUACAGAUGUCACUGCUGUUACUAUAAAGCGGAGCAUUGUCCUGUUCUGUCUGACAGUUGUAAGUUGUGCACAAUGUAAACACCUUUUAAGACAGUUGUUGACAAAUGAGGGGCUUUACAGAUGUUAAAUCUGAGGUUUUAUGUUUACAUGUCCUUCCUAUGCACUUAAAUAGAAUCAACUACUGUGAUUAAACAUACCAAUAAACUGUAUAAAAUAAACUACAAGCUACUUUGGGUGGGUAGUGGGGCUAACUUGCUUGUUUAUGUGGUUAUUUUUGCUGUAUUUUUUUCCAUUUUCUUCAAAAAAUGUAGUCCAGGUCAAUAUGUAAUUUGAUGUAAAUCCAAUUUUAUCAUACAGGUUAGAAUUCUGACAUGAUAAUGUUUACCUCACGUUCAAAUACUCCGCACACACUUUAAGUAAACAUUGACAUCACCAUCUAAAUAUUCACCUGUCUAGCACUUAUGUUCAGUGUACUGCAGAUAAAUGUGUUUGGGUACAAAACAGCAUACGUAGGCCCAGGCAGGUCUGUGAAUUUCUCCUACUACUGCGUCCGGGUUGUCUGUCACUUCCAGCGGGACACGGGUUUAAAAACUUGUUGGCUCGGAUGGUUGACUGGAUUUCACUGACUUCACAUCAUACAUUUCUGCCGAGGGAACUGUCCCAUGGUGAGACACUGUGUGCUCAAGCACAUCCAAACAGCGCUUUUAGGAGCCACCCGUACGUUAUCAUUGAGCAUACUUUUAUGAAUUAUAUUCAGUGCAGUGAUGGGAUGUUGUAAAAAAGGCAUCUUUGUAUGCUGUUUGUCAAAAGUGCGAGGUCGCAAUAUGAUGUAUAUUGAUGGUUUGGCGUUCGGCGUUGCUGCGCUAUCGCAAAUUUGCAUAGCUCAUCGCGUCUGUGCGUAGACUCUGUAUGUUAUCCCAUGGCGUGAAAUACUUGCGUCGCGUUUGGUGCGAAUACACCUUUAAUCCGGUCUGGAAUGAAUAAUUAUUCAUUUUGGGUGUAUGAAAAGGUUAAUGGUGAAGAGUCUUUGGCGAUUAGACUGAAUUGCCUCUCAGAAUACCCACAAUCAGCUGGCAGUGGAGGAGCCGAAGACAGAUCAGGAGAAAGAAUAAACAAGUAAAAAGAGUCUUUUCAUUUCCACACGGAACAUAAACAGCAGUCUCCUUAAUGAAUGUGCUUAAAUUGUCCACCUCCAGCUUUCCAACUCCCCAAUAAUGAUGCAGGUGGGUGUCACUGAUCGAGCUGCGUGACAUGUUGGGAGCGAGAAUGGCUUGUUCUAGAAAGAAGAAAGACAGAUGAUUGAAGCUGUUUUUUGAACUGACAUUUCUUCUCUCUCUCUCUUGCAGCCUGACCCCCCCAACGCUGCGUGUGAAAUCCUCAAAUGGACUCAUCCCUUUUUUGUGCAUAUCUGUCUGCGUGUGCCACUAUUUGUUCUUUACGUUAUAUACUGAGUUUGAGUCAUUUCAAAUUCCCUCCUCUGAUGAUUAAUUGUAGUCAUUUUAAUGAAUGUAACCGCUAUGUGUGGUUAAUUGUAAAUUAAAUGUGAUGCAAUCUGCCUCUGAGCCUGUGCGUGUGUCUUUGCCAUCAUUAUUACUCAUUUAGAAGUGACGUAACUGGAAUUUAUUGAAACUGUGUUUGUGUUUCAGGGCACUUUCACACCUGCAGUUUGUUUGCGUUGUUCUGAUUCAGGAUUAAUUAUGUUGCAGCGACCCCUUUGUUCAGUUUGUGUUCCCACUGCAACAUUUAAGUGGACUAGAUAUUGGAAACAAACACCACGCGUGUUGUUCUCUCAUUGGUGAGAUUUUAAAGCAGCUGUAUAAAUAGGCUCUAAAUGGCCUAAAAGAGCAGAUACAUAGUUUGUGUUCCCCUCAGUGGCAGAACGUGCCGUGCCCCUGGAAUAUGUUCUAGGCUUCCACACAGCGUUGUUCUACAUGCCCGAACAGAUGGCUGUGGGAGGACUUGUGCAUGACAACAAGUCACUCUCGCUGCUGUUUCUAGUUCCGCUCACGCCUCAGCGAUCACGAGCGCCCGCAGUAGCUCAUGAGCUAAUCACGAGAGCAAAACACUGGACAGUGAUCUAAUUAAAGCUUUUGUCUGGCAACACAAGUCUGGAGGAAACAAAGGAGUGACUGGGAGUGGAAUUCAUGCGUUGUACGCAUCCUGGCUGAAGAUAAUGACAACAUCUGUUCACUUCCUCCCUAAAGGGGCAUGUUGCAAUCAUGUGCCAUUGAUGAAUACAGAAUAAUUGCUUCUUGACAUUGAUUAGGGUAAUUUUAAAGAUUAUGAUAGUCAUAAAGUUGUUUAUGACUGCCGGGAGUUAUACUUCCAAAACGAUCAAACUAGAGAGUGAGAGAGAGAGACUUUGUAUCAGCAGGCCCAGCCUUCAACAGCUACACCCAAAGAACAGUUCAAUAAACAUUCAAUUCCAUGAGUGUGUGUUCUCUGCAACUUAUAGUGGAGGUGGUCGGAAUUCCUCAACAUUGUGGGAGACAUUAGACUGAGUGAAUUUCUCUUGAGAGUUUCCUAUUGAUUAUUCACUUGCUGUUUCUCACGGUAGCUUUAGAAGGCAGAGGAAAAGGACCACCAGAGAUGGUGGAACAGAUCCGGAAUUAAUAAGCACUGUGAGACUGUUGCAUAAGCUAUGCACAUGCCCACUAAGCAGAAGGAGACACUAUCAUCCCUCCUCCCCUUCUCUGGGCUUUCUUAGUGACAAUAAAACGGGCCCACCAGAAAUUAAGGAAUUUUCUAAAUUCAUUUUCCUCCUUGGACAAUUAACUCAUUUAUAUCUUUUCAUGGGAUUUGCGCCAAGCCUCCCAAUGGGACUGUGGAACUUUGUAGGAGUGUGGACUAACACCUGGUCUAGUCAGGCAUACAAGAGCUUAAGAUAAGAUGGAGCACCUUAUCAAUUGUGCUUGCACCAAUUUUAUUUACAUUUAUCCACCAGUCAAACGUCUAUGCUUCCUUUAGGACAGGGGGGCCCAAACUUUUUCGGCUCGCAAGCUACUUUUCAAGUGACCAGGUCAUGGCGUCCGUUAGUACACAAGGAUCGCUAAUUAGCAUUAGCAUUAUUUUCGUACAGCUCCCGCGGUCGACCGUGAUUUAUUUUACAGAUGAUCUGCAGUCUACUGGCACUGGCUUUGCGAUCGACUGGUCAAUGAAAAUGGUGUUUUAUAGAGGUGAAUUUAUAGGUGAUUGUCACUAAAAUAGCAAGGCUUUGUUAGCAGCUGUUCUGCAAUAAAACAUGCUGCAAAGGGGAAGAGUAAGCAGCCAAGAAUUGAUAGAAUUUAAGACUUUUGUUGUAUUCAAAAAUGCAACGCCGGACGGACAGAGGUCAUUGCAGAUCAAAAGGUAAAAUCAAAUGUAUUUAAUAAAAGAGAUGGUGUUGUGGUAAAAAGAACAUCUCAGCUGAGGAGCCGCUGGUCUCAGCAAGCAACAGGCCCCAGGUCAGUCCUUUGACCAUCCCUAGUGCCCGUCUCUUGUCUCCCCCAGCGAACCCGAGAACAAUGGUUCCUACAGGUAUUUAUAACAAUGCUUAAAGGUGUGAAAGUCAGUGUCCAAACCUCUGGGAGUGGUCUUCUGGUGAGUUCAAUGUAACUCGGAUUUCGAAUGACCCUUAGUCAAUAUCAGUUGUUGUGCAAGUAUUACAUGCAUGCAUUCCAGUUGAUUACAUUACAUCAAAUACAAUCGUAACUGUACAUUGGUGUUAUUCUAUUACAGUUGCAGAAUUACAGUGGUUUUACAAUAUUGUCAUUACUCUUUCAUU